This 497-nucleotide ribosomal RNA is filed under the name uncultured bacterium. RNAcentral describes it as "partial 16S ribosomal RNA". It matches the Rfam family "Bacterial small subunit ribosomal RNA", at positions 28 to 507 of the family's 1533-position model. The record is from RNAcentral.
GAUGAACGCUGGCGGCGUGCCUAAUACAUGCAAGUCGAGCGAACAGACGAGGAGCUUGCUCCUCUGACGUUAGCCGCGGACGGGUGAGUAACACGUGGAUAACCUACCUAUAAGACUGGGAUAACUUCGGGAAACCGGAGCUAAUACCGGAUAAUAUAUUGAACCGCAUGGUUCAAUAGUAAAAGACGGCUUUGCUGUCACUAAUAGCUGGAUCCGCGCCGCAUUAGAUGGUUGUUAAGGUAACGGCGUACCAAGGCAACGAGGCGUAGCCGACGUGAGAGAGGGAUCGGCCACACUGGAACUGAGACACGGACAAGACUCCUACGGGAGGCAGCAGUAGGGAAUGUGCCGCAAUGGGCGAAAGCAUGACGGAGCAACGCCGAGUGAGUGACGAAGGUCUUCGGAUCGUAAAACUCUGUUAUUAGGGAAGAACAAAUGUGUAAGUAAAUAUGCACGGCUUGACGGUACCUAAUCAGAAAGCCACGGCUAACUACGUG